RNAcentral lists this ribosomal RNA (420 nucleotides) under uncultured bacterium. RNAcentral's name for it is "partial 16S ribosomal RNA". It matches the Rfam family "Bacterial small subunit ribosomal RNA", at positions 359 to 772 of the family's 1533-position model. The record is from RNAcentral.
CAUAUUGGACACUGGGGGCAACCCUGACCCAGCCAUGCCGCGUGUGUGAAGAAGGUCUUCGGCUUGUAAAGCACUUUAAGUUGGGAGGAAGGGCUUUAGGUUAAUACCCUGAAGUUUUGACGUUACCAACAGAAUAAGUACCGGCUAACUCUGUGCCAGCAGCCGCGGUAAUACAGAGGGUGCAAGCGUUAAUCGGAAUUACUGGGCGUAAAGCGCGCGUAGGUGGUUCAGUAAGAUGGGUGUGAAAGCCCCGGGCUUAACCUGGGAACUGCUUUCAUAACUGGUGAGCUAGAGUACGGUAGAGAGUAGUGGAAUUUCCGGUGUGGCGGUGAAAUGCGUAGAUAUAGGAAGGAACACCAGUGGCGAAGGCGACUACCUGGACUGAUACUAACACUGAGGUGCGAAAGCGUGGGGAGCAAA